CACGAUCUUACCUACCACGCAAGGUUUCAGAGAUAGUUUCAAUUUGGAGAAAUGACCUGAACAAGGUCAAUAAAAAAGCUGCAGAAUCAUUGGCCGAUCCGCAAGUGUGUCCUAAUUUGUUUGAGGACUGGGGCAUUCAUCCUCCUGUUGACGUGAGAUGUGAACGAACAUUCGUCUUUCUAUUUUUUUGGGCUUUUUCUAACCCAUAAAUUUCUU
Long non-coding RNA from Pyrus x bretschneideri (Chinese white pear), 216 nucleotides. RefSeq lists it as uncharacterized. The record is from RefSeq and is a predicted model, not a curated record. NCBI's taxonomy places the organism in Eukaryota, Viridiplantae, Streptophyta, Magnoliopsida, Rosales, Rosaceae. The transcript is spliced from 3 exons.